GACGAACGCUGGCGGCGUGCUUAACACAUACAAGUCGAACGGAAAGGCCCUGCUUUUGUGGGGUGCUCGAGUGGCGAACGGGUGAGUAACACGUGAGUAACCUGCCCUUGACUUUGGGAUAACUUCAGGAAACUGGGGCUAAUACCGGAUAGGAGCUCCUGCUGCAUGGUGGGGGUGGGAAAGUUUCGGCGGUUGGGGAUGGGCUCGGGGCUUAUCAGCUUGUUGGUGGGGUAGUGGCUUACCAAGGCUUUGACGGGUAGCCGGCCUGAGAGGGUGACCGGCCACAUUGGGACUGAGAUACGGCCCAGACUCCUACGGGAGGCAGCAGUGGGGAAUAUUGCACAAUGGGCGGAAGCCUGAUGCAGCAACGCCGCGUGCGGGAUGACGGCCUUCGGGUUGUAAACCGCUUUCGCCUGUGACGAAGCGUGAGUGACGGUAAUGGGUAAAGAAGCACCGGCUAACUACGUG
Molecule: ribosomal RNA, 468 nt
Filed under: uncultured bacterium
Lineage: Bacteria
Description: partial 16S ribosomal RNA
Rfam family: Bacterial small subunit ribosomal RNA
Source: RNAcentral